AGAAUCAACGCUGGCGGCGUGCCUAACACAUGCAAGUCGAACGAGAAAGUGGAGCAAUCCAUGAGUAAAGUGGCGACCGGGUGAGUAACACGUGACUAACCUACCCUGGAGUGGGGAAUAACCUUCCGAAAGGAGGGCUAAUACCGCAUAAAGUCCUGAGGCUGAGAUGCCAUAGGACCAAAGGAGCAAUUCGCUUUGGGAGGGGUCGCGGCAGAUUAGCUAGUUGGUGAGGUAAUGGCUCACCAAGGCAUU
Molecule: ribosomal RNA, 252 nt
Filed under: uncultured soil bacterium
Lineage: Bacteria
Description: partial 16S ribosomal RNA
Rfam family: Bacterial small subunit ribosomal RNA
Source: RNAcentral